GACGAACGCUGGCGGCGUGCUUAACACAUGCAAGUCGAACGGAAAGGCCCUGCUUUUGUGGGUUGCUCGAGUGGCGAACGGGUGAGUAACACGUGAGUAACCUGCCCUUGACUUUGGGAUAACUUCAGGAAACUGGGGCUAAUACCGGAUAUGAGCUCCUGCUGCAUGGUGUGGAUUGGAAAGUUUCGGCGGUUGGGGAUGGACUCGCUGCUUAUCAGCUUGUUUGUGGGGUAGUGGCUUACCAAGGCUUUGAAGGGUAGCCGGCCUGAGAGGGUGACCGGCCACAAUGGGACUGAGAUACGGCCCAGACGCCUACGGGAGGCAGCAGUGGAGAAUAUUGCAGAAUAGGCGGAAGCCUGAGGCAGCAACGCCGGGAGCGGAAUGACGGCCUUUGGGUUAAAAACAGCUUUCGACUGUGACGAAGAGUGAGUGACGGUAAUGGGUAAAGAAGCACCGGCUAACUACGUG
This 468-nucleotide ribosomal RNA is filed under the name uncultured bacterium. RNAcentral's name for it is "partial 16S ribosomal RNA". It matches the Rfam family "Bacterial small subunit ribosomal RNA", at positions 28 to 507 of the family's 1533-position model. The record is from RNAcentral.